AGCAGCCGCGGUAAUUCCAGCUCCAAUAGCGUAUAUUAAAGUUGUUGCAGUUAAAAAGCUCGUAGUUGAAUUUCGGGAUCAAGUCGUCGGUCGUGCCUCGGUACGCACUGGUGACAUUGGUUUCUCCCUUCUGAAGAACCUUGAUGUCAUUAAUUUGGUGUCUUGGGGAAUCAGGACUGUUACUUUGAAAAAAUUAGAGUGUUUAAAGCAAGCUCACGCUUGAAUACAUUAGCAUGGAAUAAUGAAAUAGGACGUUUGAUUCUAUUUUGUUGGUUUCUAGGAUCGACGUAAUGAUUAAUAGGGAUAGUUGGGGGCAUUAGUAUUCAAUUGUCAGAGGUGAAAUUCUUGGAUUUAUUGAAGACUAACUACUGCGAAAGCAUUUGCCAAGGAUGUUUUCAUUAAUCAAGAACGAAAGUUAGGGGAUCGAAGACGAUCAGAUACCGUCGUAGUCUUAACCAUAAACUAUGCCGACUAGGGAUCGGAUGAUGUUAAUUUUUAAUGACUCAUUCGGCGCCUUAAC
This 520-nucleotide ribosomal RNA is filed under the name uncultured Glomus. RNAcentral describes it as "SSU rRNA". It matches the Rfam family "Eukaryotic small subunit ribosomal RNA", at positions 569 to 1092 of the family's 1831-position model. The record is from RNAcentral. Lineage: Eukaryota; Fungi; Glomeromycota; Glomeromycetes; Glomerales; Glomeraceae.